AUGGCCACACGGCCAACGCCGGGGUCGCGAGACGGCAGCAGCGCACGCCCAAGAAGCACGAGCGGCAGACCCACCACGUCGUCGAGCGCGCGCCCGGCCAGCUCCGACCCCACCUCCUGCCGACGCGCACGCGCCUCCCUCAGCCCCUCCCCGGCGUCGGAGUCGGACAAGCCGGUGCCGUCCUUCCUCCGCCCCACCCGCCCUCCUCCAAGGGCCGCGCCACCACGCCCAAGGGGCUGUCCCCGGCGCCCAGCGGCGCGCGCUCCAAGUCCGAUCGCGCCGAAGCGGUCCCCCGCGCAGCAGCCCUCGAGCUCGUCGCGGCCGAUCACGCCCAAGCGCCCCCCCGCGCAGCCGGUGAACGCGCCGCGGCCGAUCACCCCGGCCAUGGACAAGUCCAAGGGCAAGGCGUCCACGUCGCGGUGGUCCGUGGCGUCGCCGAGGCAGCUGAUGCAGAAGGCGUCCCACGCCUUCAAGGUCGGCAGGUCCCGCAGCAAGAAGAGCAAGGACCUGGCCGGCCCCGCGGCCGAGGCGAUGGCGUCCGUGAAGGAGACGCCCGGUGCUUCCGGCGAGAUCAACGCCGAGGCGGCGAGACCCCCUCCCGUGCCUGAGCAGCAGCGCCGCCCCGCUGAAAUGACUGCCGCGACACCUCUCGACGUCGUGCAAUCAGAGGUGGUCGUGGAGCCCAACGCUGCCAUGAAGUUACAGGAGGAAGCGACCUCGCGACCGGGCGAAAUUGUCAGUAAUGAAAUCAAGACAGAGGAGGAGACGCGUCAAGAGGAGCAGGAGCCGAGAGCAGAAGCAGAGAAGGCGAAUGCCAUUGACGAGGAGAAGGCCGUGAUACCGAAGGAGUCCGUGGAAGCCGUGAAGGUGGAUGAGCCGGCGCCGGAAGAGAAUCCGCAAGCCGGCAACGUUGAAGGGGCACAAAAGGAAGCUGAGAAGAUUACACAGGAUGAACCUCCGCCGCCGGCCGCCGUUGUGGAAGAACCAACGAAGGAGGCAGCAACGCCGCUGAACGUGCUGCAAGAUGAACCAGCGGCCAGCCCGGUUCAAGAGGAAGCCGUCGUGGAGAGCAAAGCCGAGGAGAGGCCACAAGCAGAGCCGGCGAAGCACGAAGAUGCCAUGAAGCAACCUGAAACAAGUCUGAUCUCUGAAGAACCGAAAGAGCAAUCCGCCGAACCCAAGAUGAUCGCUGCAUCCAAGGCAUCAUCGGUGCCGGCGACGUCGCUGGAAGAAGCUCUGGAGGAAGUGGAGACGGUGACCAAGGUGGGCACUUCGCGAUCAGAGCCCGUGACACCGGCGAAGCAAGCCAUCAACAAGGACAAGGCGGUGAUCGACACGAUCCUGAGCGCUUCGGAGCCAACGACGCCGUUGAGAGGAGCCGCUAAGAAGGAAGGGGCGACGUCCUUCAUGGGGAAGAUUCCGGAGGAGGGUCGGAUGAGUUUCAAGGGGAGCAGGGUAAAGACGGCGAUGGAGAAGCGGCCGGAGGAGGCGCAUCCCAAGAAGAAGGAGGUGUCGCGGAGCAACGACGUGCUGGAGGAGACCAAGAGCAAGCUGCUGGAGAAGAAGAAGAGCAAGGUGAAGGCGCUGGUGGGGGCGUUCGAGGUCGUCAUGGACAGCCCCCGCGCGUCCACGCCGGGCCCGGGCAGAUCGGGCCCGAGGUUCUGA
Molecule: ribosomal RNA, 1665 nt
Filed under: Triticum aestivum (bread wheat)
Lineage: Eukaryota; Viridiplantae; Streptophyta; Magnoliopsida; Poales; Poaceae
Description: partial small subunit ribosomal RNA
Source: RNAcentral